GCGCAGGCUCGGCGUUGGCCUCCGCGGCCCGUGCGAGUGCGCCCUUCUCGGGUCCCCUAGGUCGCGGGGCAGCCGGGGCGGAAGGGGCUUGUUCAUUAUUUUGAGAGUUUGUUGUGAACGUCAUAACCUUUCGUCCUUAAAUAUUGCCGAUACUUGACCUACGCAAGAGACAAUGUCAUGUGAUUCAGCCUAAUAUCUCGAUGUAAUAAGGACUUAUGAACAGAAGACAUGUCUGUGUGCCAGGCAGCUGUGAGACAAAAUCGUGGAUCUCCGCACUGUAAACCCCCAGACCCAGGACUUACAUAACCUAGGGAAAUGUUGUUUCAGAAGGGAUGUGUAGGACAGUUGAAGUACAAGAACAUCAAGGUCAUUUCACCCAAGGGCAGAAUUUAUAUGGCGGAUCCCCACUGCAAAAGUUUCUCUAAGUUUCAAAAGGUCAAGGCCUAGAUCAGCACUAGCAAAAGCAGCAGGAACAACUUUAGUGAAAUCACUAAGACAGAAUUCGCACAAGGAACUCAAUGUCUGUACAGGAGGAUGCAGCAUUCAAGGUUCUAUCUUGGAAGCAGAGACUGUGCCCUCACCAGAUGCUGAACCUGCUGAGCACCCUGAUCUUCCACUUCACCUUCAUCAGAACGGGUGCUAAGAAUUCUGAAUUUAUUGAGGAAAUAAAUGUCUGAUUGCAACAAAAGAAAACUUGUCUGGCUUUGGGAAGGAAGAGGCUUAGGAAAAAAAUUAAAGGCGUCUUUACUAGAAGUUCAAGACUGGGGCUGUGGCUGAGAUGUCACAUGGCAGAUAGGAUCACAAAUUUCUGUUGUAUCUGGAUGGAGAUCAGCAGGAGGAUCUAUGGGUGAGAAGAAGCACAGUUACAGAUGGAUUCUAGAGCCUGCUUGCUGACACAGGCUUGCAACUGCGGACUUUAUAAGCUUAGUUUUUAAUCUGCUAUCAGCUAGCAUAAUACCAUAAAUGCAUAAGAAACUAAGUAUUCAGUCUUACGAGAAAUGCUAUCUUGACCUGACCCUUUCUCCAAAUAAAUUGACAAAAUAUCUCAUCGUCUAGGAUGCCAGACAGAAAUACCAGUUGCAAUGUUUUGUUGCAUAAAGUUUAUCCUAAUUUAAAUUAGUGGCAUAUAAAGUCAUCAUCUUGCUUGAACAAACAUCUUAUUAAAUUGAGCAUGUCUUUUAUCCCAUGAAAUGAAAUUAAUUUUGAGAUAGUUAUUUUUCAGUUGGAAAUUUAUUGAGUUGAUAGAAAACAAGUUAUAUAGUCUUCCAAAGAAUAUGUUACAUCCAUUUGCAUUUUGUUUUUCUUCAGCAAUGUUUGGUUUUUAGAAAAUCUUACAAGUUAAAUGGUACUUCAAAGAGGACAUCCUCUCCUGAAGAACAGAAGAACCUGAAAUGUUUGGAGCCUAAGACUGCUGUGAUUGCACCUGCCAUCUUAUGCAGAAAUGACCUGAAGACAGACUGAAACAACGUGGGUUUUCGUAUCAGGAUGAUGCUGGCCUCAUACAAUGAGUUAGGGACGCGCAUGAAAUUUGGUGCCGUGACUCGGAUCGGCGGACCUCCCUUAGGAGAUCAAUCCCCUGUCCUCCUGCUCUUUGCUCCAUGAGAAAGAUCCACCUACGACCUAAGGUCCUCAGACCAACCAGCCCAAGAAACAUCUCACCAAUUUCAAAUCCGAAAUCCUUCAUCUAAUCUGGCAAACACAUGUGGCAGGUUUUUCUCACCGCAUAAAAUAUGUUAUAGAGUAGUCCAUCUAUUUCUCUUCCAUGGAAGAGUUCAUCUGGUAGAUUGGACUACCACUUUUCCUGGUGGAGACCUAUUCUGUUGGGUUAGAGAUGACAGAAAAUCUUAUUUGUCGGUUGGUUUGUUUGUUCAAGAAUACACUGACCUUCUACAAGAAAGGAGAGCUCUUUGACACCUGGAAAGUUUACAGAAGCUUGGGACAGCUCUGAAUGGCAACACGGUCCUGAGAUAUGUGAUUACCUGGGACUUUCAUUGGACCUGCAUUUCAGCUCUACUCUCCUCACUGCCCUAUGCUGCUUUGACCCUAAAAGUGAAGCCAGCUUGGCCAGGUGCAGUGACUCACACCUGUAAUCCCAGCACUUUGGGAGGCCGAGGUGGGCAAAUCAAGAAGUCAGGAAAUCGAGACCACCCUGGCCAACAUUGUGAAACACCAUCUCUACUAAAACACAAAAAAAUUAGCCAGGUGUGGUGGCACGCACCUGUAGUCCCAGCUACUCGGGAGGCUGAGGCAGGGGAAUCACUUGAACCCGUGAGGAGGAAAUUGCAGCGAGCCAAGAUCGCGCCACUGCACCCCAGCCUGGGCGACAGAGAGAGACUCCAUCUCAAAAACAAAACAAAACAAAACAAAAAAAACAAAAAGUGAAGCCAACUCAAUUGUCUCAUAGAACUGAUCUUUACGGUGUUUUUAAAUAAACAUAGAAAUUGGCCCUCCCAGUCUUAAAACUUCAAAAACUUACAUUUGUCUUACCUCAGUUCCUUUCUCAGGAAUCCAAUCAUCAAGGCUCCCAGAUAGUAUCAAUGAACGGAAACUUACCAGAUCACGAUAUCUGGACAAUGAGAUGUCAGAUCCCCCUCAUCCAUCCUGAUUACCUAACUGACUACCUGCUUCCUGUUGGCCAACUACUCUUCCUUACCCCUCCCUAAUUCUUGUUUUCCCACAAAUGGUUACAUUUCUGUCCUGCUAUAGAAGCCCUUAAUUUUAAUUGGUCGAGGAGAUGGAUUUGAGACUGAUUUUUUGCUCUCCUUGGCUGUUGCACCUGAAUAGCCUUUUUCCCUGGCAAUACUUUUUGUCUCAGUGAUUGGCUUUCUGUGCAGUGAGCAAUGGGACCAAACUUCUGGUGUUUUGGUAACAAAUUUUGGUUUCCUGACUGUGAAUGCAUUGCUUGUGACUCAGCUGCCAUGAGCUGGGAGAGUUUCAAAAGCCCUCUAAGCAGCUACCUGACCAUUUUGGCCAGAGGUGGAUUUUCGUCUCUCCCCAUUUGGGCCCACUUCUGCCAACCCCAACCAUGUUCCUGAUUGCCUAGGAAGAACAGCCUUUGAAAUUUGACGUCUAUGUACAGAAAGGUGAGUGUCUUUUAUGGGUACUAGACAGUGGGAAUGGUUCCUCUCCAUUUGGGAAAUCCCAAAGGCAUAUCAGUUUGCAGGUUAAACAAGCCAAACUGAUGGAGAGAGGAUAAUACCUUGACUGAUUCAGUUUGAACACUCUUGGGGCUUGUUCAUUGCUACAGAAGUUGGAUUGUGUUUUGGUGAUUGUUUGCUUGUGUAUGUCUAUGUAGUUAUGGGAUGUCAGGGUUUGAUCCCAGAGUGCAGCCCACAUGGGUGCAUUCUUUGGGUUAGUCUGUAUGUAGUUGUGGGUUGACAGAGCAGGGGAAAUUCUACAGCCAUACCACUCUGAGUGUGGCUGAUCUUGUCUGAUCGCGAUGUCUUUGCAUUGUAGUGCUGUCUUACAAUUGAAUUCAUUUUGCUGUUGAAUGGGAAAGCAGGAUGGAGGUCCAUGUAUGUAUGCUUUUAUGCUGCUGCUCUGAACAGGGUUGGGCCUGAUUAGUACUGUGAUGCUCUUCUGUGGUGCUGUUUGGCCCCAGUGUUCUUUGGAAUCCGGGGAAUUUUGGCCUUUAAAAGUUAAACUGCCAUGGGAACUGAUUUACCCAGUUUUAGUUCAUAGCCUUCAUUGUAUUAUCUAUCAGGGCAAAAAAGUUAGCCGUGUGAACAUGUUCGUAAACCAGUGAGUUUGUAUUGCUAUCUCAUGCCUAGAAUUCUAAAGUAAAAACUAUUGGGUCUUUGUUUGUAUAUAUGUAUAUGGGUCUAAAUGUUAUGUGUUGUUUUUACAGGGUACAGAUUGGCUCAUAAAUAAAAGAGCACUCAUAAAUUAAGUGA
RNAcentral lists this long non-coding RNA (3893 nucleotides) under Homo sapiens (human). RNAcentral's name for it is "long non-coding RNA NONHSAT196047.1". Lineage: Eukaryota; Metazoa; Chordata; Mammalia; Primates; Hominidae. The record is from RNAcentral.